Molecule: long non-coding RNA, 508 nt
Organism: Oncorhynchus tshawytscha (Chinook salmon)
Lineage: Eukaryota; Metazoa; Chordata; Actinopteri; Salmoniformes; Salmonidae
Source: Ensembl
GGAGCGCACUAGUUGGAGCACAGUUUGAGCUUGGGGUUGCAUUGGAGCUAAGGAGCAACAUGUAUGAUCCACUGCAUUCUCUCUUUAACCAAUGGCUUUGGGAUCACCGCACUAAGUUCAUAUAAAGAUCAUUGGGCUUUAAAUCAAUCCCAAAUGGAAGCUGGCAGUACUUUUGUUAUGGAUCUCAGAGUUUUAGAAAAUGUCCAACAUAGACAACAUCCUGAAGGUUGCCUUUCCUUUGCCACACGGGCCGUUUGGAAAACUUUUGGCAAAAUUAGAGUAUACUCACUUCUCCAGGCACCAACCACUACACCACUGACCAGGACCAACCCUGCUUAGCUUCAAAGGCAAGCCAGCGGUGGGAUGUGGGGUGGUAUGCUGCUGGCAUUGUACAGUUCUAAAAUAAAAUCCUUUAUCAAACUUUGCCUGCCCUCUUUUUGCUUCUCAAAAUGUUGUGAUAAGGAUGGCUUCUAAAAUAAUAAUCAAUAAAAAUUAAAUGGAGGCAUAU